UGCUGGUCUGGCGCAGCGGCGUCGGCGCGGCCGCCUGGUGGCGGCAGACCCGCGGCCUGGCGUUGAUCGUGCUCGCGGUCGGCCU
This 85-nucleotide transfer RNA is filed under the name Bordetella bronchiseptica. RNAcentral's name for it is "tRNA-???(gg)". Lineage: Bacteria; Pseudomonadati; Pseudomonadota; Betaproteobacteria; Burkholderiales; Alcaligenaceae. RNAcentral also lists the same sequence under 1 other name. The record is from RNAcentral.